Molecule: ribosomal RNA, 1343 nt
Filed under: uncultured bacterium
Lineage: Bacteria
Description: 16S ribosomal RNA
Rfam family: Bacterial small subunit ribosomal RNA
Source: RNAcentral
GACGAACGCUGGCGGCGUGCUUAACACAUGCAAGUCGAACGGAAAGGCCCUGCUUUUGUGGGGUGCUCGAGUGGCGAACGGGUGAGUAACACGUGAGUAACCUGCCCUUGACUUUGGGAUAACUUCAGGAAACUGGGGCUAAUACCGGAUAGGAGCUCCUGCUGCAUGGUGGGGGUUGGAAAGUUUCGGCGGUUGGGGAUGGACUCGCGGCUUAUCAGCUUGUUGGUGGGGUAGUGGCUUACCAAGGCUUUGACGGGUAGCCGGCCUGAGAGGGUGACCGGCCACAUUGGGACUGAGAUACGGCCCAGACCCCUACGGGAGGCAGCAGUGGGGAAUAUUGCACAAUGGGCGGAAGCCUGAUGCAGCAACGCCGCGUGCGGGAUGACGGCCUUCGGGUUGUAAACCGCUUUCGCCUGUGACGAAGCGUGAGUGACGGUAAUGGGUAAAGAAGCACCGGCUAACUACGUGCCAGCAGCCGCGGUGAUACGUAGGGUGCGAGCGUUGUCCGGAUUUAUUGGGCGUAAAGGGCUCGUAGGUGGUUGAUCGCGUCGGAAGUGUAAUCUUGGGGCUUAACCCUGAGCGUGCUUUCGAUACGGGUUGACUUGAGGAAGGUAGGGGAGAAUGGAAUUCCUGGUGGAGCGGUGGAAUGCGCAGAUAUCAGGAGGAACACCAGUGGCGAAGGCGGUUCUCUGGGCCUUUCCUGACGCUGAGGAGCGAAAGCGUGGGGAGCGAACAGGCUUAGAUACCCUGGUAGUCCACGCUGUAAACGGUGGGUACUAGGUGUGGGGUCCAUUCCACGGGUUCCGUGCCGUAGCUAACGCUUUAAGUACCCCGCCUGGGGAGUACGGCCGCAAGGCUAAAACUCAAAGGAAUUGACGGGGCCCCGCACAAGCGGCGGAGCAUGCGGAUUAAUUCGAUGCAACGCGUAGAACCUUACCUGGGUUUGACAUGGAUCGGGAGUGCUCAGAGAUGGGUGUGCCUCUUUUGGGGUCGGUUCACAGGUGGUGCAUGGCUGUCGUCAGCUCGUGUCGUGAGAUGUUGGGUUAAGUCCCGCAACGAGCGCAACCCUUGUUCACUGUUGCCAGCACGUUAUGGUGGGGACUCAGUGGAGACCGCCGGGGUCAACUCGGAGGAAGGUGGGGAUGACGUCAAGUCAUCAUGCCCCUUAUGUCCAGGGCUUCACGCAUGCUACAAUGGCUGGUACAGAGAGUGGCGAGCCUGUGAGGGUGAGCGAAUCUCGGAAAGCCGGUCUCAGUUCGGAUUGGGGUCUGCAACUCGACCUCAUGAAGUCGGAGUCGCUAGUAAUCGCAGAUCAGCAACGCUGCGGUGAAUACGUUCCCGGG